Molecule: unclassified non-coding RNA, 305 nt
Filed under: plant metagenome
Description: partial contains 5.8S ribosomal RNA, internal transcribed spacer 2, and large subunit ribosomal RNA
Rfam family: 5.8S ribosomal RNA (bases 1-105)
Source: RNAcentral
GAAAUGCGAUAAGUAAUGUGAAUUGCAGAAUUCAGUGAAUCAUCGAAUCUUUGAACGCACAUUGCGCCCGCCAGUAUUCUGGCGGGCAUGCCUGUUCGGGCGUCAUUUCAACCAUCAAGCCCCCGGCUUGUGUUGGGGACCUGCGGCUGCCCGCAGGCCCUGAAAAACAGUGGCGGGCUCGCUGUCACACCGAGCGUAGUAGCAUACAUUCUCGCUCAGGGCGUGCUGCGGGUUCCGGCCGUUAAACGACCUUCAUAACCCAAGGUUGACCUCGGAUCAGGUAGGAAGACCCGCUGAACUUAAGC